RNAcentral lists this unclassified non-coding RNA (377 nucleotides) under uncultured bacterium. Its description in RNAcentral is "contains 16S-23S intergenic spacer region". The record is from RNAcentral.
UCCGGUUUGGCACCGGCAGUCUCCUUAGAGUUCCCACCUUUACGUGCUGGCAACUAAGGACAAGGGUUGCGCUCGUUGCGGGACUUAACCCAACAGCUCACGACACGAGCUGACGACAGCCAUGCAGCACCUGUGAUGCACCCUCGAAGGCGACCCCAUCUCUGGGGCUUGCAGCAACAUGUCAAGGGUGGGUAAGGUUCUUCGCGUAGCUUCGAAUUAAACCACAUGCUCCACUGCUUGUGCGGAGUCCCGUCUAUUCCUUUGAGUUUUAGCCUUGCGGCCGUACUCCCCAGGCGGAAUGCUUAACGCGUUAGCUUCUCAACGCAAAGGGUCGAUACUUCACACUAAUAGCAUUCAUCGUUUACGGCGUGGACUAC